RNAcentral lists this ribosomal RNA (293 nucleotides) under uncultured microorganism. RNAcentral's name for it is "partial 16S ribosomal RNA". It matches the Rfam family "Bacterial small subunit ribosomal RNA", at positions 505 to 796 of the family's 1533-position model. The record is from RNAcentral.
GUGCCAGCAGCCGCGGUAAUACGUAGGGUGCAAGCGUUGUCCGGAAUUAUUGGGCGUAAAGAGCUCGUAGGCGGUGUGUCACGUCUGCCGUGAAAACCUGCGGCUUAACCGUGGGCGUGCGGUGGAUACGGGCAUCACUUGAGUUCGGUAGGGGAGACUGGAAUUCCUGGUGUAGCGGUGGAAUGCGCAGAUAUCAGGAGGAACACCGGUGGCGAAGGCGGGUCUCUGGGCCGAUACUGACGCUGAGGAGCGAAAGCGUGGGGAGCGAACAGGAUUAGAUACCCUGGUAGUCC